AGUGAACGCUGGCGGUAGGCCUAACACAUGCAAGUCGAACGGCAGCACAGUAAGAGCUUGCUCUUACGGGUGGCGAGUGGCGGACGGGUGAGGAAUACAUCGGAAUCUACUUUUUCGUGGGGGAUAACGUAGGGAAACUUACGCUAAUACCGCAUACGACCUACGGGUGAAAGCAGGGGAUCUUCGGACCUUGCGCGAUUGAAUGAGCCGAUGUCGGAUUAGCUAGUUGGCGGGGUAAAGGCCCACCAAGGCGACGAUCCGUAGCUGGUCUGAGAGGAUGUUCAGCCACACUGGAACUGAGACACGGUCCAGACUCCUACGGGAGGCAGCAGUGGGGAAUAUUGGACAAUGGGCGCAAGCCUGAUCCAGCCAUGCCGCGUGGGUGAAGAAGGCCUUCGGGUUGUAAAGCCCUUUUGUUGGGAAAGAAGAGCAGCAAGUUAAUACCCCGCUGUUCUGACGGUACCCAAAGAAUAAGCACCGGCUAACUUCGUG
Molecule: ribosomal RNA, 492 nt
Filed under: uncultured bacterium
Lineage: Bacteria
Description: partial 16S ribosomal RNA
Rfam family: Bacterial small subunit ribosomal RNA
Source: RNAcentral